Molecule: ribosomal RNA, 323 nt
Filed under: uncultured bacterium
Lineage: Bacteria
Description: bacterial SSU rRNA
Rfam family: Bacterial small subunit ribosomal RNA
Source: RNAcentral
AAAGCCGGGGACCUUCGGGCCUGGCGCGAUUGGAUGAGCCCAUGUCGGAUUAGCUAGUUGGCGGGGUAAUGGCCCACCAAGGCGACGAUCCGUAGCUGGUCUGAGAGGAUGAUCAGCCACACUGGAACUGAGACACGGUCCAGACUCCUACGGGAGGCAGCAGUAGGGAAUAUUGGACAAUGGGCGCAAGCCUGAUCCAGCCAUGCCGCGUGAGUGAAGAAGGCCCUCGGGUUGUAAAGCUCUUUUGUCCGGAAAGAAAAGCGCCGGGUUAAUACCCUAGUGUCCUGACGGUACCGGAAGAAUAAGCACCGGCUAACUUCGUG